Long non-coding RNA from Polistes dominula (European paper wasp), 244 nucleotides. The record is from RefSeq and is a predicted model, not a curated record. Lineage: Eukaryota; Metazoa; Arthropoda; Insecta; Hymenoptera; Vespidae.
GAUAGGACAGAUAGGAUAGAUAAAAUAGCCGCUACAGAAUCUACUAUAAUUACAGUAAUAACGAACGUUUGAGUUUUGCUGCUAGAAGAGAAGAGUUAUUGAUUUUUAAACAUAUUUUUUAAAUUAAUUUGGAAGCAUAUUUUGUAACACUUCUUCUUUAAUUAUUCAAGUUUUUAUUUCUUUUGCAUUUUUUAUUGAUUAUAUUUACAAUGACAGAUAACACAUCUCUUACGCAAUUAAAAAA